RNAcentral lists this small nuclear RNA (155 nucleotides) under Mus spicilegus (steppe mouse). RNAcentral's name for it is "U1 spliceosomal RNA (ENSMSIG00000015256.1)". It matches the Rfam family "U1 spliceosomal RNA". From Rfam's summary of the family: U1 is a small nuclear RNA (snRNA) component of the spliceosome (involved in pre-mRNA splicing). Its 5' end forms complementary base pairs with the 5' splice junction, thus defining the 5' donor site of an intron. There are significant differences in sequence and secondary structure between metazoan and yeast U1 snRNAs, the latter being much longer (568 nucleotides as compared to 164 nucleotides in human). The record is from RNAcentral. Lineage: Eukaryota; Metazoa; Chordata; Mammalia; Rodentia; Muridae.
AAAGAUUCUUGAUACAGUGAUCAGAAAUGUAGUUUUCCCAGGAUGGAGCUCAUUCAUUAUACUCAGGAUAUGCUAAUCCCUGCAAUUUCUCCAGAUGCAGGAAACUCAGUUGCAUAAUUUGUGGUAGUAGAGGACUGAGUUUGUACUCUUUUUUU